UGGGCAACCUGCCCCUCUCUCUGGGAUAACCCCGGGAAACCGGAGCUAAUACCGGAUACUCCGGCUGGAUCGCAUGGUCCGGCCGGGAAAGGUCCGCCGGAGAGGGAUGGGCCCGCGGCCUAUCAGCCUGUUG
Molecule: ribosomal RNA, 133 nt
Filed under: uncultured bacterium
Lineage: Bacteria
Description: partial 16S ribosomal RNA
Rfam family: Bacterial small subunit ribosomal RNA
Source: RNAcentral